Molecule: ribosomal RNA, 253 nt
Filed under: uncultured bacterium
Lineage: Bacteria
Description: partial 16S ribosomal RNA
Rfam family: Bacterial small subunit ribosomal RNA
Source: RNAcentral
CACGUAGGGCGCGAGCGUUGUCCGGAAUUAUUGGGCGUAAAGAGCUCGUAGGCGGCCUGUUGCGUCCGCUGUGAAAGCCCGGGGCUUAACCCCGGGUCUGCAGUGGAUACGGGCAGGCUAGAGGUAGGUAGGGGAGAAUGGAAUUCCCGGUGUAGCGGUGAAAUGCGCAGAUAUCGGGAGGAACACCGGUGGCGAAGGCGGUUCUCUGGGCCUUACCCGACGCUGAGAAGCGAAAGCGUGGGGAGCGAACAGG